Molecule: long non-coding RNA, 2409 nt
Filed under: Triticum aestivum (bread wheat)
Lineage: Eukaryota; Viridiplantae; Streptophyta; Magnoliopsida; Poales; Poaceae
Description: long non-coding RNA (TAES_LNC018966)
Source: RNAcentral
AGCCGCCAGCUCGGACGCCACCUUGGCGUUCAUCGUGGGGCCCAGCAGCAUCAGCGCGCCGUCCUGCAGGUCCAUCAUGGAGUUCACCAGGCUCGCCGGCCCGCAGAUCGCACCUGGAAUCGUCAACACUUGUUAGUCAUUACUACUCCAAUGCUGAGUCAGGUGCUGCAAGAUUUCACAUAGGUUGAUGAUUUGUCAGAUGCAUGCAUACCUACAUGAUACUACAUGCAAGUUUGCGAGAGAUCAGUUGUUUGUUGGUGAUGGUGAGUGGGUUCAUGUUUGGUUCGGUGUAUCGCGCUAGGCACCAAAACCGCAACCACAAGAGACCAUCGGCACCGCUUGGAGCGAUGCCAUGACAGGACUACUACGGACCAAAGAAAAUGAAUGUGUGGGAUGUGCACCGUUCACGGGCUGGCAAUUAUUACUGGCAAGAGGAACAGCUCGCUCGCGCAAUGAUCAACCAGAUGGCGCGAAAACGCGCAAGGAGCCAAAGAAGGACGACCCCGUAGCGUAGCGUCGUCCAUGGACCGUGGAGAGCUAGCAGGCAGCUGAGGCUCCAUCAUUCGCGUCCGGCCGCGAGACGAUCGACGGUGGUGGUGGUGGCAUGCGAGGGAGCGUACGCGUGCGCGGCCAAAACGGGUUAGGUGGGACACCACGCGCACCAGCUAGAGAUAAGUAGCCACUGCUGGCUACAGACGAGUACUCAUGGUACGUACUCCUCCGUUCAGAAUUAUUUAUCUCGGAAAUGAAUAUAUUUAGAACUAAAAUACGUCUAGAUACAUCCAUUUUUGCGACAAGUAAUUUCGAACGAGGGGUACAUGUGAGGGUGAGCAUCGCUGACUCAUCGCUUCGUCCUUUUGGCCUUGUCUCCGCACGGGGGCGGCGACCACCUUGCGUGGGGUGCAACAGUGAGAGGCGCCCGUGUCGAGAGCCUCUUUGCAUAUAUGCAUGCUCCCGUCAAGUGAUGGCCCGGCCACCGGCAGUGAAUUACCCGCUACUGAAUUGUGCUUCUACAGUACUCACUCCGUAUAAAAUUUAGUAAAUCAGAAACAUUUAUUUUAAGAUGAAAGGAGUAAUAUGUUUUUACCAAAAUAUUCAUGAUUGUACUAUCCAGUAUCAGUAAGGUAGCCACUGCAGAUUUGGUUAGGGGGUUGGGUAGUGACUAAUCUAAAUAGAGCACGUGUUUUUAUCCACAGUUAGGCACAAGUAAUAGUACUAGUACUAUUAUAUGACCAACUACAUAAACUAAGGAUUACGAUUGAUCAUAUCAUAAUCGUUACUUAGAGGGGUACCAGUUUCUCCUAAUUACUACUCAACGCUGUUCCAUCAUAUUCUUACCAUUUUCUCCUAAUAAUUAUAGUACUACUCACCGCUAUUCCAUCAUUAUUCCAGACCGUUUUUUAAACAUGGAUAUACUAUUCUUUUCUUUUCUUUUUUCUAGUUGAACCUAUGCAGCCCCGGGAUGUCCCGUGUCUCAGGGCAUUGCAUGUGAGCUAGCACUGCUGCUUUGAGCGUAGCUAGCCCCACCAUGCAUGGUAGCACGUACCAUCUGUUUGGGUGUGUCAAGUGAUACUACUGCCGUAGUUUUUUCCUAACUUUUUGAGAACUAAUGACACGUCCGGAGAAAAGCAAUGCUAUUCAUACGUUGUAUACUAGUUUUACAAAAACGUUACGCACCAGUUAAAUAAGAUGACGGUUGACUAAAAACGUGGGGUUGUUGCAAUCCAAAAUAAAAAACUAGGUAGUACGUAUGGACUUUGUCGAACUUUUAAGUUGGGGAGAUAGGCUUGCAUGCGUGGGACUUUUAACCAGCAUACGUGGAUCGUUGUAAGCAACAGCUGUUGCCCUUUCUUGUCUUUGCAUGCGUGCAUGGAACAUGCAACAUAACCUGGGAGUAGUUCCGGGAUGUGUGCGUCCUUACCGGCGAUGAUGUCGGCGCCGCCGCUGAUGAACUUGGACACGCUGUGGACGACGACGUCGGCGCCGAGCCGCGCGGGCGAGACGACGACGGGGGUGAAGGUGUUGUCCACCACCAGCUUGGCCCCGGCCUCGUGCGCCACCCGCGCCAGCAUCGGGAUGUCGGCCACGGCCAGCGUCGGGUUCGACAUCGUCUCCACGUACACCACCCGCGUCUCCCCCGGCCUGAUGGCCGCGCGCACGGCCGCCUCGUCGUCCGCGUCCACGAACGUCGCCUGCACGCCGGAGGUGCGCGGCAGGAACCGGGACAGCAGCGCGUGGGUGCCGCCGUACAGGCAGCGCGACGCCACCACGUGCCCGCCGGCGCCCACCAGCUGCAUCAGCACGCAGGAGAUGGCCGACAUGCCGGACGCCGUGCAGUAGGCGGCCUCGGUCCCCUCCAGCGCGGCCAUCUGCCGCCCCAGCGCCAGCACCGUCGGGUUGAAGUGGCGG